ACUUCCAACAUCCAAGUUGCUGGAUUAUAGCCAUCUGUAAUUUUACUGACUCCUUUAAUUCCCUCAAAAUAUUUGAUUAAAUGGCAAGAACGGCGACCCAAUGGCCCAACAUAGAUCUCUUCUCCUCCUCUCUUCAUCAGGAAUAACUCGUCAAAAGCUUCAAAAAUGUCAAUACUUGGUUGGUGGAUUGUGCACACAACAGUUCUUCCUGUGUCCACAGUGUUCCUAACUGUUCUCAUUACAAUUGCAGCAGCUCUUGCAUCUAGCCCUGAAGUUGGCUCAUCCAUGAAUAUUAUAGAGGGGUUUGCCACCAGCUCAACUGCAAUGGUUAGCCGCUUCCGCUGCUCAGUAGACAAACCAUUCACACCAGGCAACCCAACUAGUGCUUGUCUCAAUGGAUUCAACUCCACAAGCUCCAUGACUUCUUCAACAAACAUCUUUCUGGUUUCAGAGUUGACGUCAGAGGGUAGACGAAGCCAAGCGGAGUAGACUAAGGAUUCGUAGACAGUAACAUGUGGAGAGUGGAUGUCAUUUUGCUCACAGUAUCCUGAAAUUCUAGCAAAGGUUUCUUGCUUCUUGGGAUAACCAGAAAUCCUGAUGUCCCCCUCAAUAUAUCCACCAGUUUUUCUGCCAGCUAGCACAUCCAUCAGAGUGGUUUUACCAGCACCACUAACACCCAUUAAGGCUGUGAGAACACCUGGCCUGAAAGCACCACUCACACCCUUCAAAAGCACCAACUUAUCCUCAACGACUCCCUGAUUUUUCAUUUCCUGGGGCAUAUCAACAGAGUAUAUAACAUUAUCAAAAGUGAUGGAAUGUGGUUCAAAUGGAAGAACCAUUCCUUUUUUCUUGUUAUGGUUCGAUUCAUCAAUUCCACUUGUCCCACUCGCUGUGUUGUUUCUAUGACUGCUUUCAACUUGUGAUAACUGAAUGGCUCCUCCACUUCUCUCUCUUUCUUCAGGCUCAUCAGAUAUAAUAGCCUGAGGCUUCUCAAAUUGGUCUAAGAAAGUGAGAGCCACAGUGUAAAGUAUAUUGAAGACAAAUAUAUAUCCAGCUGAUGCCCCGAGUCCCAACCAAUACCAAUAUGCAUGUGGGAAGAACCCAUUAUUUUUUAUAAAUUGAACUCCUAGAGAUUCUGUUGAGUUUGAAUUUGCUGGAAUAUGAUUCCAACUGUGCCCAAGAAACUCAUUAGCAACAAUUGCAUUCUGCCCGUACAUCAGUGGUGAUAUCCAGUAACCCCAGAUCCACCAUUUCUUUAUCUCCGGUCGUUUCAGGAUAAAGCCACCCAAUGCAAAAAGAGUAAGAAGUGCAAAUGAACCAAAUGUAUUAGCAACAAUCAUGUUCCUUCCAACUGAAGCGAUAAAUCGGAAAAGAGCAGAGGCCAUCUGGUUCACAAGUAAAAGCAGCAUAUACUGCUUAAAUAACCUUCCAACGUUGGGAUCAAAUCCAAUGACAUAAUAAGUGAUGAACACCCAAACGCCAACUUCCACAAAUGUGACAGGAAUUUUAAGGAU
RNAcentral lists this unclassified non-coding RNA (1514 nucleotides) under Hevea brasiliensis (rubber tree). The record is from RNAcentral. Lineage: Eukaryota; Viridiplantae; Streptophyta; Magnoliopsida; Malpighiales; Euphorbiaceae.